CUCUGGUAUCACUCCCUCUCUUUGCCACACAACGUGGUUGGCAUCGAUGAGGAGAUCUAACAAGGCGGUUACACUUGCAUGGAAUGAUCAGAUGGAGUAAUCAUGGCUCAACAACACAAGAGUGUCUGCCAGGCCUGGUUCUGCCGUGUCUUUCUGAGGAAGGUCUUCUGGAGGAGAUUGGCUUCUGAUUGGCUGAUGGCCUGGAAGGUCCUCCUCUCUCACCUGCUCAUGUUUUCCCGCUCUCUGGGUUUAGCCCUGAAGCUUUGGAGAAACACGACACGGCCAAAGCAGUCUUCUCCCCCGAGGUCAAAUUCAGAGAGAGAGUAGCCAAUAAGAUGCGAGAGAAAGAGUACAUGCCAAGCUCACCUGAAGAUGUCAUGCAUGCACAUCCUAGCCAUGUUGGGAUGGAGAAUAAAUGAGGCUGCUUUCUUGUCGGACCUCUUGGUCCACCUGGUCCAGCCGUCUGGAUGUCCUGACUGAAGACGUGAAAGAAAGAAUCCUAAAGGUUCUGCUCUUUGUAGAUGGAGGCUGGAUGGUGGACAACAGACAGGAUGCAGAGCGCAGCCACCAGAUGCUGGUGUUGCGCUCGCUGUGUCUGCCACGACUCAACUUCCUGCAGAGCUCCUACAGACACCAGGAGGGGCUACGGCUUGACCCGUCCCAAAAGUUUCAGAUGACCCGGAUGACACUGCAUCAACAUCAGACAUUUUAAUCAUCAUCCGUCCAACCAUUCCAUUUCAUUUAAAAAGGACAAAUAUAAUCAUGAGUGGCAGCACAGUUACUCUUGUAAGCACAGAUGCACACUGGAGUUUUUGGACUUAUUGUGGAUCUCAAGCACAGGUUGUUGGAUCCAAACAAAGGUCACAUACACAAAUGAAUGAAAUGUUCAUGAAUGCUUCAUGAGGUUCCAAGUCAAGCUACACAAAGAAUGAAAGUCAAACUGGAGCCUGGACGGAGAAUCAUCCAAAUGACAUUACCACCAUAACGCAAAGACAAAAUGACAUCACUUGACUCCUGGUGCAGCAAAAUCUAUCCUCUGUCCUUCAUCUAGAAAUAUCCCAGUGGAGGAUGGAGAGCCUUUUCAAUACAGGCCUUUUAUUAGAGCCUUUGAACAUGGAGUGGAGGAGAAGACAACUCAUUUUUCCCCACUGAGGGACGAAUAAAGGCUUAUCUUAUCUUGGAACGAUCCUUUGCACUUCCAGGGGGCAGCGAAGAGACUCAGUGCAAAGUUGUCAGCACUUCCCUGGGGGGCAAGGAUCUUCUUAGAUGGAGAAAAUUCUUAACUGGAUGCCUGUUAAUAGUGAGGAUGUUAAAUCACUACAGCCAUUCUCCCUUUUUCUUACAGGAUGCUCAAAUCUGACGGAACAAAUUGUGCAUAUGAAAGAGGCGGACUUACCAUCUAACAUGAGGAACAUCAUUCUUAAACUUCCAUACAAAUGACGGCGAAAAUAGGGGAAUGUUGCUUGUGAUUUGCUAGAGCGAUGUGGUCAAAGAACAGUAUUCACCCAUCUUGUUACCUUCAUUGAAAGACUGGUCCAAGUAGCCUAUGAUCCACUUUUUGGGAACAUUCAGGACUCGCAAGGUACCAACUCCAAGGCUUCCAAUGCUAAUCACACAAAACAAGGAAAAAGGAAAGCAGUUUUGCCACGAAUGUCACUGAAGUCCAAGAUGGAGGUGCAUCUCAACAUACAAUCACUCAAGCCAAAGUACCUUUUGUGCAGAAUUGUCUGUUUUGCUCUCAAAGCAGUCAUUCCUUGGACAAGUGCUCACAGUUUCAAGUGAAAGUACCCCAGGAUAAGAUGAAUUUUCUCAAGAAAAGCCUUUUGGUUGCCUGAAGCUAGGCCACACAAGCAAAGACUGUAGGAGUGGUUUGGAUUGCACCAAAAGCACCCGGGAGUCCUUCACAUACAGCGACAGGAUACAGGCACAUCCUCAGCACAAAAUCCAAACACUGUGAACUCUUCAAGUCUUUCUACUAAACUGUCUCAGACCUGUGGCCAUAUUGGGAUUGGGGCCGCUUGUGCAGAUGAUUCUGUCUUUUCUAUUGUUGCAGUCGAGGUAAAGAGUCGGAAGCUCAGGCCCAUUUUGCACAGAUAUUCUGGCCAGGAAAUUUAACUUGAGAGGUCAAAGGGCAAGUACUCUGCUGAGAACAAUGGGCCAAAGGAAGAUAGUAAAUGCUCAGGUUUUGUCAGGACUUGAAGUGUCUGGUAUGGACGGGAAUGUUUUCAUUGACUUAGCUGAUGUUUUAACUCAAAGGACUAUGCCUGUGUCUGCAGUAAAUGUCCCAUGACAAGACGAUGUGGAUCCAUGGAUUUAAUUAUCAGUACAGAUGCCCCAAUGGUAAUGGAGCCUUGGGAGCCGAAGGACCCUGUGCAGUCAGGGCCAGGAUUGGUUGGGUCAUUAAUGGUCCACUGCGUGGUGGAUCUGACAGUAGAGGUGAGAGUGGCCAUCCUGCUGCAACAACAAACCCAAUCUCUGUUGAACAUCUUCAAGAAAUGCUGGUUAAACAAUACAACCAUGACUUUAAUGAGAAAUUGAAAUGUCCAGAGAAGACAUCAAGUUCGUGGAUCUUAUGAACAAUACAGCAAACCUCAUAGAAGACCACGACUGCAUCCGCUUACCUUUCAGACAGGAAAAUCCCAUGAUGCCAAAUAAUCACUUUGUUGCAGAACAGCACUUCCAGAGCCUGAAGAGCAAGUAGAUAAAAAUGGACGUUUUAAGGAGGAAUAUGUCUCAUUCCUGAAUGACAUGAUGACUUACAAGCUCUCUCCUUUGGCCAAGAACAUGUGGCAGCAAUGGCAGACGUCCAAGCCAUGGUUCAUCAAGUUAGCGUCUCAGUUAAGCAUAUUGACUUUCUCUGCUUCUUCUGGUGGCCUCAUGGAGAUACUGCACAGCCUCCGGUAGAACAUCCAAUAAAAUCUGUUUGGCACUGUAUCAUCACCAAGUUGCUGCUUUGCGGAGAACAGGACAGCACAGAACAACACAGUCAAAUGCAACUUUUAUGUGGACGAUUGCUUGAAAUCCAUGGCAUCGGAAGAAGAGGCAGUGCAAAUGGUAACGGAUUUGACUGUGCUUUGUCAAAGGAGGAUUCGAUCUUUCCAAGUGGAUCAGCAACAGCUGCAAAGUGCUGAUGUCCAUUGCAGAGGACGGCAGAGCAAAGGAGAUCAUGGAAUUGGACUUGGAUACAAAGCAACUUCCGGUAGAGCGAGCACCGGGACUACAGUGGUGCAUGGAAUCUGACAAGUUCAAAUUCAGGACGUCUGCACAAGAACAGCCACAGACCAGAAGAGGUAUUCUGUCAGUGGUCAGCUCAUCGUAUGACCCUUUGGGAUUUUUAGCUCCAUUUGUUUUGCCAGCCAAGUUGCUUCUCCAGGAACUCUAUCGGAGAAACCUUGCCUGGGAUGAAUCCAUCAUGGAGUCUUCCGGUAAGAAAUGAAGAUCUGGAUGGCGGGGUCCGUUGGUGGCCUUGCGCUGGUCUUGACUCCUCGGCUCUGCUGCUUGGCCUCCCCGUGGCUUGGAGCUGUGGCACUUCCUCUCCGGGGGUGGCCUGCUCGACGGGUGUCGGCCGGCACGGUGUGUUGCCUUGCUGCUCGCCUGCGCGCCCCCUACGCUUGCUCAUGUGCUGCUGUAGCCCCAACGCCGGGGUCGAGGGAGGACUGGGGUGCUAUCCCUUGGAGGUCCGUGUCUCCUUCGGCUCGGGGCCUGGUUGUGGGUCUGGGUCCCCUGGGUCCCCCGCCCUAUAACGCCCCAGAUGCCCCACUCGGGGACAUCCAUGGUUUGUGCUUGCGUGUGUGUUGAGUGGAUGGAGUGUGCGCGUGUGUCUGAGCUAUUUUUAUGGUAAUGCUAAUGGUAAUGGUUUUAUUUAAUUUGAACAUGCAUCAGAUUACAAUUGAGUGCAUCCCAUAAUUAGUUCACAGUUCCACAUGUCCAAAAGGAGUAGGAAGAAGCAAAGCUUAUUAAAUCCUACCCCUCCAUCUGGUACUUUUACAAUCAGUAACUGUUACAUUUGUUCACUUCCUGCUUUCCUAAUCUAAUUUGUAAAAACAAAUUUAAAAUUUAUUUUAUUAAUUAUUAUUUUAUUCUCAUUUAUUAAUUUUAUUUUUUGUCUCGUACCGAAGUACGAGGUGAUGACCAUGACCAUACAAUGACAUAAUGGGUACCAUAGUAACUGUCAACAUAGUGAUAUGUAUAGCACAUCAUGACUGGUUCAAGACUCUUCAUCCUUGUAUUUAGCAAACAUCAACUGCUUGUAUUGUUUCUUGAAUUGGCUCAUCGUUGUGCAUUGUUUGAGGGUCUUACUCAAUCCAUUCCAUAGUUUGAUUCCACAUACUGAAAUUCUAUGGCUUUUUAACGUAGUCCUAGCAUAGAAGUGUUUCAAAUUUACUUCCCUGAGAUCAUAUUUCUCCUCUCUUGUAGAGAAGGUUCAAGGACAAUCUAUUAUCA
Non-coding RNA from Doryrhamphus excisus (bluestripe pipefish), 4443 nucleotides. The record is from RefSeq and is a predicted model, not a curated record. Lineage: Eukaryota; Metazoa; Chordata; Actinopteri; Syngnathiformes; Syngnathidae.